AAGCACAUUUCAUUGUCUUGUUCUUGAUGUCUGUAAGAGUAAAGAUAUUUCUGAUGUGCUAGAUAAACAGAUGAAGGUCAAUUAGCAGUAUGACAAAUAUUGUCNUCACUGUCAGUCACCUUCAAACAAUC
RNAcentral lists this small nucleolar RNA (131 nucleotides) under Salvator merianae (Argentine black and white tegu). The record is from RNAcentral. Lineage: Eukaryota; Metazoa; Chordata; Lepidosauria; Squamata; Teiidae.